GAUGAACGCUGGCGGCGUGCCUAAUACAUGCAAGUCGAGCGAACAGACGAGGAGCUUGCUCCUCUGACGUUAGCGGCGGACGGGUGAGUAACACGUGGAUAACCUACCUAUAAGACUGGGAUAACUUCGGGAAACCGGAGCUAAUACCGGAUAAUAUAUUGAACCGCAUGGUUCAAUAGUGAAAGACGGUUUUGCUGUCACUUAUAGAUGGAUCCGCGCCGCAUUAGCUAGUUGGUAAGGUAACGGCUUACCAAGGCAACGAUGCGUAGCCGACCUGAGAGGGUGAUCGGUAAAACUGGAACUGAGACACGGUCCAGACUCCUACGGGAGGCAGAAGUAGGGAAUCUUCCGCAAUGGGCGAAAGCUUGACGGAGCAACGCCGCGUGAGUGAUGAAGGUCUUCGGAUCGUAAAACUCUGUUAUUAGGGAAGAACAAAUGUGUAAGUAACUAUGCACGUCUUGACGGUACCUAAUCAGAAAGCCACGGCUAACUACGUG
Molecule: ribosomal RNA, 497 nt
Filed under: uncultured bacterium
Lineage: Bacteria
Description: partial 16S ribosomal RNA
Rfam family: Bacterial small subunit ribosomal RNA
Source: RNAcentral